UCUGCCAUUUGAGCAGGACUCAGUGCAGAAGGCUUGCCUCUCUUCUCCACGUGCGAGCCAGUCGUGACCAAGGCUGGAGGAUGCAACAUGGCUUCACUCACUCAUCCGGGGCUGGGCACCUUGGCGCUCCUCUAGGAGACUUUUUCUAGCAGUAUAGCCUGAACGUCCUUACUUGGAGGCUUUCUCAUACCUUUAUAGAUAUAAAAGUUUAUACACGAGGAGAACACAAUUAGGAAUAAGUUCAUCAACAUUUUCUUGUUGGCCUUCUUUAGAUACAUGGCUGUUUUGAUUGAAAGUUGAGAUCUCAAAUUUUGAAAGUCAGCAUUUAAAAAUAAUGUUGUCACAUCCAUACAAUGUGAAUUAAUGCUCUAAAAGAGGGCAAGUUUAUAGUGUAUUUUUAUACGUUGUGUUACUUAGGCUGAGGGUAAGAGACUCCUCUCCCUCCGCCCCCAAUGAAAUCUCUACAAGUGCUUGAAAUUCCACCAGGAGGGAUUAUUUGUUCAAGCAUUGCUCAUUUUCACUGGAUUCUUACGUAGCAAAUGCUUCUAGGAAGGGAAGGGUGGAACUAAGUAGCACUGUACUAUGAAUAAUUUAGAAGAAUAGUCUUCUCAGAGAAUCCUGAGAGUCCUGGAUGCCUUUGGAAGAAGGGGGUGCUGAAGGCAGGAGCUUGGCCAGAUGGGGGUGGGGGCCUAAGAUUGGUUAAGAUAGAGUUACCGAACCUCAAUUUCUCUACCUCGUACUGCUGCUUACUUGGGUGGCAUGCGUUAGGCUUAUGUGAUGUUAACACAACCGAUUUCGUACCGACUUUUUAUUGUGGAGAGAACAUUUUGUUCCUAUAAUAUGAUAUCAUACAUUCUUUGUGUGUGUGUCUUUUUCCCUAAACACUUCCCCACAAAGAGUAUUUCUUUACCCCUAAAAUAGCUCCAGCUGCCUGCUGGAGAUUUUUCUCUUAUGAUAACUUUGAGCUUUUGUGAUUUUCCUUUGGAACGGACUAUCUCCUCCAGCCCUUCCCUCUCACCCUAGUUUCCAAGGUCCAGAAGACAGUGCUGGCGUUCUUCUGGUGCUCUGAACUCGCCGGUCCACUGUGGGAAAAUUCCGGCUGGGGCGGAGACGUGCUGCUGGCUCUCCAGGUGUUGAAUGGACCGCAGAGGGGAGCUGCCCUGCAGCCUGUGUUUUCCUCAUUUGAAUAGCAAGCUUAUUUCCGUCUUUGAUUUCCUUAAGGGCACUGGGUCUCUCCUUUUCACGUCUCCCUUCACCCAGUGAAAACUAAUCCAACUCAGAAGCCCCGAAGAGUUAUAUUCUCAGGAGCUGCCUUUGUUCGAGGAGCUAAUACUGUGCAGAGCUGUGAUUUUAUUAUUCCUGCAGAAAGCCAGAGCCUGUUCGCUGCUUCAGAUGAAAAGCUCUGUGACUAACAGGAUUCUUUCUUCAUUGCUUUCUUUUUUUGGGUUACAUUUCUCCCAUUAGCUGCCAGGUUGUUUCACAACAUUUCUCCCGGCUGAAGUGAUUUAUCACACAGAGUGAAGAAGUGGGGACUGUCUGCUUUCCUUUGACCCCCUGACAGCAGGGCUUCUACUCCUGCAAUCAGCACAGGCCCACGGCCCAUUACUUAGGGGGUGUGGGCCGAGCAAAGGAAACCUGACUCACAGCUGUUACCGUUCUGGAGAAGUCCCGGGAUAGGGGUGGUGAGCCAGUUGGGGUGCAGCCUGCCUCCUGGUUCUCCCUCCUAAAGCCAAAGGCUCUUGGAAGACAAGCCUUGGUUUUGCAGCCAAACUAGAGAUGGAGGUCCUUCUGCUGUAGUCCUGGGGAUCUACUCCCUAUGGAUUUUACAGUUAGCUGGCGGCUGCUGUCAUGAGAGUGACCGGGAUUCUCUCUUUUAAGCCUCCGUGUAGGCUCCCACCCCCAACUCCCUAAGCUGGUUGGCAGGAUCCCAGGGGAUACCCACAGGCUAUUGAAGACCCCUCUUGUUUGAGUGUCCUGUGUUGCUCUCCUUAGUCCCUCUUUUCUUCCCAGCCACUUCAUAGAGACAAGCAUGUUUUUUUGAAAAUAAGUGGCAGUCGGGCAAAUCCAAUGGGUAGCUUAGUGUCAUGACAGUAGCUGAAGAACCAGGUGAUAAAGACACUCUAGUCUUGACAGUUUGCAGAGGUCCACCUGAAAAACAGGUGAGCCAUGGGCAAUGAAUGAACUGGACAAAAGUGCUCAUUUGCUCACGAGGUGGCCCAACUGGAUGUCAACAGAUGCAGAACAAAUGUAAAUACCGUCCCUGGUAUCCCCUUGGGGAAAUCUGUGCUGACGGGUUCUCCAGCCUCCAGCCUCUGUGCACGGGCUCCAGGGAACACCUAGAACCACCCCAGUGUCUCGCUCAGUGUGCUCUAAACGUGUAACCAGGACAAGAGAAACCAUGCUGAGCAUUUGAAACAGAGGGAAUUUGAUGCAGGUAAGUAUUUACCUGGGAGACAAAGAGCUGCGGAGCCAGACAAUGGACGGUGAGAUAACCUGAAGAAUGGGAACAGCUAGAAGCCACCGCUCCUACUUCUAAGCUGGAGGUCAAGGGUGGGGGGCAGGGAGGUGCUUUUUCACUAAGGAGGAGGAGGCCUGAGGGGCCUGUGGUGGAAAACCACUGUGCGAGUCUGUCUGCUGAAAGAUGGAGCCAGAGAGGAGAUACCAGAGACACUACACUGCCUUAGGCAGAGAGGGAGGGGGCGAAGUCCCCUGGGAAACACCGCUCACAAGGGUCAGUCUCCUGCGACCCAGCGCAGGGCAGCAGAGAUAAGGGCUGGCGCAGGCAAGAAGCCGUGUGUGUGUGUGUGUGUGUGUGUGUGUGUGUGUGUGUGUGUGUGUGUGAGAGAGAGAGAGAGAGAGAGAGAGAGAGAGAGAGAGAGAGAGAGAUGGGAGGAGAUCAGAAUCAAGUCUCACUGGGAGAAACCUAGUGUCUGCAGUGCCAGAAGGGACUCCUGGCUGCCCUGACUCCUGCCGUAUAGUUCUCGCUAGGAAUGCGGGGCACAUGGAUGUAUGCAUUUAUUCAGGAAUCACUGAACUAUAAUAUUUAAAUCGUACCUCAAUAAAAUGUAAAAAUACACACACACAAAGACUAUUAGGCUCUGGAGUCACACUGUCUGUUUGCUACUAGCUAGCUGUUCCAGACUGAACUGUGUCCCCUCCUCCCACCUCCCAAAUUCAUAUGUUGAAGCCUUAACUCCCGAUGUGACUGCAUUGGGAGAUAGGGCCUUUAAGAAGGGCACUAAGGAUAAGUGAGGUUAUAAGGGUGGGUCCCUAAUCUCAUAAGACUAGUGUCCUUGUAAGAAGAGAAAGAGAAACCAGUGAUCUUUCGCUGCACAAAGGAAAGGCUGUGUGAGGACAGCAAGAAGGCAGCCAUCUGCAAGUCAGGAAGAGAGGCUUCACCAGAAACCAACCCUGCCAAGCACAGUGAUCUUGGUUUUUCAGCCUCUAAAAUGCUGAGAAAAUAAAUUUUUGUUUUUAAAUCACCCAGGCUGUGGUAUUCACUACAGCAGCCUGAGCUGACUAAUAGACUAGCUGUGUGACUUUGAGCAAAUCACACAACUUCUGUCUACCUUAUUGCUUCAUCCGAAAAAUGGAGAUAACGAAGUUCCCUCCUCACAGAUUUUGGGGACAAUUAAGUGAGAUAGGAGUUCAGAGUACUCAGCAUGAAUUAUCAUGUGUAGCUCUUACUCUUCAUACCCCUGCAUUUCUGCCUCAGUCUCCCUGCCUGGAAUUCUGGGUCUCACCUCUCCUCAGAUGCUGUCUCCAGCCCCCUAGCCUCACACAAGAUCUUGCCUCUCCCUGUGUCCUCUUCCUGGCAUCCUCCAGCUGACAUGUGGGGUCCUGUUGGCAUUGCUCAGACUGUCACCUGCCUUUCUUUUAGCUGUCUGUGCUCCACUUGCUGACACCCUCUCCACCCUGAGAAUGUCAUGUCCCUACAACUAUGUGCUUUAGUCCAUUCAUCAAGUGGCUUGUGGCUGAGCCAGCUGUAUUGGUUUCCCAUGACCCUGUCCUUUCUGGUCCUGGCUGCAUCCCACCAGCCCGGGUGCUUGGGUUGGCCCGGCAUACUUCCUACCUCCGGCAGCUCUCCAGGCCACUUGCACAGACUCAUGGAGCUGUGGCAGCCCCAGAUUUCUUUUUUUUUUUUCUUUUAAAUUUUUAUUUUUUAAAUUUUAUUCAUUUGAGAGAGAGAGAAGAAUGAGUGAAAAAGCGCAAGCCUGGAGAGGGAGAAGCAGACCCCCUGCUGAGCAGGGAGCCCAACUCAGGGCUUGAUCCCAGGACCCUGGGAUCAUGACCUGAGCCGAAGGCAGAUGCUCAACUGACUGAGCCACCCGGGCAGCCCAGCUCUAGGCUUUUCUGUCUAGAAAUGCAUUGGGCUGGAAAGGGGUGAGUGGAUGAGCUUGCUUUGGUAUGUAGCAAAGUGCUCUUUCGUGGUUUUUUUUUUUUUUUAACUUACAUUGUGGACUUAUUUGGGGGUGGAUUUGGGGAGAAAUAAUGAAAAUUAUGAAUGUUUGUAGGGUUGGGGGGUAUGGUAACAGGCAGAUUGGAGACAACUUCCUAGCAUCAGUCCCUUACUGGGCACAUUGUUGCGAGUUUUAUGUGGUAUUAGAAUCCAUGGUUGUCUGUGUGAGGUUUGUUGCGUCAUUUGUAAGCAGUGGUUUUCAGGUUUGCAGUGAAUCAUGUCUAUUAGUUUCCAAUAACCUUAUAUCUCAAAUUUAACAGCGCAAACCAACACACACGUGUUAUCUCACAGUUUCUGAAGUUUUUAGUCUUUUAAAAUUGCACAAAUGAUACAAGCUGGUAAUAACAAGCUUAAACACUGAGAAGUUUAUAAAGCAAAAAUGAUAACAUAUGCCCUUAUUCCCCUGUAUUCUAACUCUCCUGGAGAAAUGAUUACUGGUCGCUGUGAGUACAUCUAUACACAUUUUUUGCAGGAUUAGAUGAACAUACGCUCAUAGGAUACAUUCCUCCCCCCUUUUUUUUUGAAACGAGAAUGAGCUCACACUUCAAUUAGGUGGGACUUCUGUUUGCAAGUGAUAGAAACUCUGCAUCAACCAUUUUUGGCAAAAAGAGGAAUUUAGUGGCAGAAGAAUUUAAACCACAGGACUCAAUGUCUCUGUUUUUCUCUCUGCUUCUCACAGACCAGCAUUCUCUACAAGCUGGAACUCUGGUCACCAGAGGCUGCCUGGCUCCCAAUGCCAGGCUUCCCCACGCAGAGGGCUUACCCCUUGCCUUUAGCUCUAAAUAAAGCAUUCCCAAGAAGGACGUUGACUGGCCGUAUCAUUUAAAGUACUUUUGGCUGCAAAUAACAGAAACCCCAACUGUGAGUGACUUAGUAGAGAUUUGUUCUUUUCAUGGAACAAGAUGUCUAGAGGUACACAGUUGUUCUGGAGCCCAGGGACGCCAUGCUUCUGCAUGCACCUGUUUCUUGGCCAUUCUCUUGGUCCUCCCCUCAGGGUUGCAAGAUGGGUACAAGAGCUCUACACAGCACAUUCUCAUCUGACAGUGUCUUUCUUUACCUGGCUUCUCUCUGAAGCAAAACCCAAGACACAGGCUGUCGUGCUGUGGCCCAGAGAGGUGAUGGCAGGAAGCAGAAGUAAGGACUGAGGGAGUGAAUCUGGGAAAGAGGGACAGCCAACAUAAGGAAGCUUUACUGAGUGGGAUGGGGCUGUGGGCGUCCUGCUAGCACCUUCUUAGGGGCCUUAUGAAAUCUAUCUCUAGGACCGUCUGCUGGGGGACAACGAGGGAAACAUUCCUCUAUCGGCAUCUUCUCUCCUCCCCUAACUAAACAGUAUGACGAUGGACAUGUUUUCCAGUCACUGUGUGUGUAUAUGGUAUACUCAGUUUGUGGCCGCAUUGUUAGACAGAUGGGCCACACUUGUCUACUGUAUUAUUGGGAGUUCAGACUGAAGUCCUGGUUUUAUAUGAAGUUGUCACAAACGUUGAAAGGAGCAUGGCUUCCCUCCCCUCCUCCUGGUCCCAGAACUGAGGGACUUUUAUCUCAUUUCAAGGCUUUGGCACUUUGAAAAAUAAAGCAAUAUUUCAUCUUGCCAAAACAUAAGUAUUUCACACUAACCUAUUCAGAACAAAAAUAGAAAAGAGGUAAAAAUAGCUUCUGAGUAGCCAAAUAGAUGUCAAAGAGUUACAAAUUUCGGCUGGACCGGGCAGCCCUGUGUGCGAUGUCACUCUGGUUUGGGCUGAAAUCUCACACACUUGCAAGAGAGAGCUUUGAUAGGACCCUGUUUAACCUCAUUUUACUUACAAUUCUAACUAGCUUGGUAUCCUAGUUACUAUUUCCACAAAUGAGAAGGGGAAGGAAGCUGCUAAAGGAAGCCACACUGCCAACUCAAAUCAAAAAAGGGACCACGGACGGUAACAAAAACAAAACAGCAGAAACAAUAACGCAAAACCUUUUAAAAAAAUGUCCCAAACAUGCAAAAGAAUACUGAUAUUCUGCUACCAUGGAACAGGAAAAUAAUGGAGGCUCCCAGCCAGAAAGAAUUGUUACAGUCACAUUCAGAGUCCUCUUGACAAGGCAUGGAAAUGAAGAAUUUAUUUUAUGCUGUUGUAUCUUUUCAUGCAGUAUUGAUUCAGUAUGAUUGUUCUUUUUGUGCAAUAUUUUGGAGAGAUUUCCCAAUAUGUAGGUUUCAAAUGAUGAAAAAAGUUGAUUCUAAAAUCUCUGGGGAACAUCAGUGUCCAAACAACUGGUUUCCAUGGAGUUUUAGCCACAAAAUCUCCUCCAGCAAACUGGUUGGGUAACCAUAGAGUGAUUUCUCUACCUCUCUGCGUAAGGGGGGGGAUUUUGACCAGCCUCCUCCUCUAAUUCAGGCCAGCAGUGCUGCAUUUCAUGAGUGCCCUGGGACAGUCAUUAGCCAUCCUUGUACAGUGGUGGGUUAAGGUUGGUAGGCAAAUGUGGAGGCUUGUAUCCAUCCUCCUAGAAAUUUUCCAGAAAUGUUUGAGGUGAGCUGGAAUGGAGGGGCAAGAAAAUAAUUUUUUGUUAACCAGGAUAUUAGUGUGUUUGUGAGUGUGUGUGCUUGUGUGUGUACCCGCUCACUUGAAAUUGGCUUAUAGCAUUGAAUAGAGAAUUUUUUUUUUGCUUUGUUCCAGAAUCUUGUUACUUAUUACUGUUAUUACUGGCAUCAAUGUUACCACUCCAUUUUGUCCAUUCACUGUUAUUUCUUCCUUUGUUCUUCCUGUUUUUUGUUUUGUUUUGUUUUACAUGUUGCAGUAGACAAAAGAAUGUCCCCCCAAAAAGAUACAUGUCCUAAUCACCAGAAACAGUGUAUAUGUUGUAUUACAUGGUGAGAGGAUUUAAGGUUGCAGGUGGAAUUAAAAUUGCUAAUCAGCUGGCUUUAAAAGAAUGAGAUUAUCCUGGAUUACCUGGUAGGCCAAAUGUAAUCACAAGAUUCUUUAAGGGAGCAAAGCAGAGACAAAAAAGAAAAAGAGAAAUGGCACUGUGAGAAAGACCUGCCUUUGAUGACUUUGAAGAUGGAAGGGACUCACCAGUUGAGUACAGCCUCUAGCAGCUGGAACCGGCGAGAAAAAUAGAAUCUCUUCUACAGCCUCCGGAAAGGAAUGCAGCCCUGCCAAAACCUUGCUUAGCCCAGUGAGACCCACUUUGAACUUCUGACUUCCAGAACUCUGAGAUAAUAAAUUUAUGUUGUUUUAAGCCACGGAGUUUGUGGCAAUUUGUUCCAGCAGCAGUAGAAAAAGGAAUGCACAUUUAAGACAUAUUUAUGAAGUGUUUACUGUGUGCUCACCAUUGUGUAUGGGGAGAAGAGACAAUAGUAAUGUCAACGUUGUCACACCUUCUCACAAGUGAUUGAUGGUUCAGAAGAUGAAAUAAGGCUUUAUUUCUGUUAUACAGGCCUUUAGCUGUCAUUGUGUAAUGCUCCUAGUUGCACAGGUAACUUGAUGAAUCUUAUCACCCACAUUUAUUAGUGCCCUUUCUCUGCUAGAAGCUGCGUGUGCAAUGAUAAGGGAGAUAGACUGAUGAACAGUUACUUAAUAUAACCAAGAAGAAUUCUUCCUCUCUGCUACAACGCAAUCUGCUCCUCCUGCCAUCGUUUUCUAAUCUCUCAAUUCCCCAAACUCCAGAUCUACAAAGUAGCUGGAGCAGAGGUUUUCACCCAGUGGUGUAUGUGGUGGUUGUGGUGGGUGUGAAGGGGCAGGUGAAAAUACAAUGCCUAGACCUGCCCCUGGAGAUUCUGGCUCAGUAGUCUGAAGAAGCGUUUGGCUAUAGGUUUUUUUGGGUGAAAGCUCCCAAUGUAAUUCUUUACCUUGCUUUAGAGAGUGAGAGAAAUAUAACACUAAUGGUUUACAAAAAUUACUUGUUAAAUUUUUUUUGUUGUUAUAAUAUAGGUGGUACCAUGUUAUUUAAUUACAAUGUGAUGCAAUUAUAAAUUCCCAACAAGAGAGUCAUUCAAAAUCUGCAUUUGGGAAUUAACAAAGCACACUCCUGAAUAAUUCAUUUUGGGGAUGAAGAGGGAGUCAGGGUGAAAUUGCAAAAUAUUCAGAAUGAAACCACAGUGAUAGUGGUAUGCAUCAAAAACCAUAGAAAGCAGCCAAAGUGACAUUCAGAGGGAAAUGUAUAGCCUACAGGUGAUUAGAAAACAAGAAAGCUUGAACAUAAAGUACCCAGCUUAAGAAGAUACAAAAGGCACAACAAAAAUUAAUCCUAAAGAGUGGGUGAGUUUGCAGAAGAUUACAUAUAAAAGCAAAAUUAAUGAGCAAAAUAAUCUCAGUGGCAUUGGUUAAUGAGACCCAAAGUUUGUUCUUUAAAAAAAUGAAUAAAACAUUCUUUGGUUAUGAUAAAUAAAUGGUAGCAGUAAUAGUAGCAGUGGUGGUAGUGGUUGUAGCAAUAAGCAUCUAUAAUGCUCUGUGUCAUGUGCUUCCCUACAUUUCUGGACACUCUUUCCCGUGAGUGACAUGCUGGCCGCUGAACUGGCAGCACAGCCACGUUGUGCAAUGCUGAGCCAAAGCAUUUAAGAGCCUCUGUUUGAUCCUCCCUCUCCCUCUCUUCCCCUUCCUUUGAUGUGCGCUUGAAAGCCAGGUGCCGAGAUAGCGAAGCCAUUCCAUGGAAGCAGCCUGGGUGACUGUCCAGGAUGACUGACAUCCCCAAAUGAAGGACAGAUGCUCUGGGGAAUUGCUCAAUUGACAUGGCCCUCUGUGUGAGCAAGAAAUUAAGUCACUGACUCAUGUUUUAAUGUAGCACAGCCUGGCUCACCCUGACUAAUUCAUGUUUCAUAAAAUGUGGCCUUUCUAGAGGAUCUCUCGAUUGUUUGAUACAUAUUCGUAACGUAGCCAAUGUAUUGUGAACGUGGAAGUGCAGGGAGUGAGUGGAAAAGGAGGGAGAAGCUGAGCUCUUCAAAGUUAAUUAUUUUUCCUGUUUGUUGCCUGACAAAUGUACCUGAUGUCUCAAUCAGUUACCAAGACUUACCGGCCCAGGUUGUUUGUGUCCACGAAUAUACGUCUACCUCAAAUCCUGUAGAAGGGAGGGAAAGAUAGUAAAACUCAGCAUCAGCUCUUUUGUGGAUUUCUAACUCCAAUGGACUAUUCAUGCGAUUUAUCACGAUUAAGUCAUUGCAGCAUUUUUUUCACCAAAAUGCGAACAUGGAAACAAAACGCAACCAACAGGUCGCUGCAUUAAAUGACCUAUAACUGAAUUAGAGCUGAUUUCGCUGCUCAUUCUCAUGUUCAGAGUGCAAUAGAGCAAGCCGUUCAUUCGCAUUCAUUGAAACACUAGUUCCAUGUUAUUUGUACAGGAAUGUUUUAAAGGAUCAUAUUUCUGAAAUGUAUGGAAUAUUGAAGCAUGCAGUGGUUUGGCAUAUGAAGUCAGCUUGUCUGAGUUCAUAUCCCAACUCCACCACCUUACUAGCUAGGUGAACUUGGGCAUUGUUUAACCACUUUGAGCCUCAGUUUCCCUUUCUGUAGGAUGGGAGUAACAAGAGUUACCACCACCUCAAGGGGUUGUGGUGGGGAUUGGAAGUGAUACUCUAUGGAAGCUGCUCAACAGGUGUUGUCUGGAUGCUGGUGGUGGUGAUGGUGCUGCUCAUGGCUGAGCAGGUUUGAGAGUAGUCUGGCCAUACAUGGCUGGCACUCACGAGCCACUCUGCCUCUUACUACCUGUGUAUCUUUGAGCCACUUACCCUCUCUCAUUUGCAAUUUUCUCACGUAUGAAUGAGGAUAAUUAUAGUUAUCUGGUACACCUGUUGGGAAGAUUAAGUCAGAUAGAAUAUUACAAAUAGUGUUUAGCUCAGAGACGGGUACACAAGGCACUCAACAAAUGACAGCUAUUAUUAUGAAAACGAGAAAUUGGAAAACUGCUAUUUAGUUUACCUAGAUAGCAUAAAUAUCUUUCAAAACAAUAUUCUGUGUUACCCUGCUCUUGUACUCCUUCCUGUGGCCUUAAACAGCACUAUUAUUAUCCUCCGAAUUACAGGUCAGAUUCUGAUACCAAGAAUUCCCGUAUGCUCUCUGAUAUAUAUAUAUAUUUUUUAAUAUCUUGAUUUCAUGAAGUUUCACACCUGGAAACUUGAAAAUCUUUUUGUUGCUGUUAUGUAGAUUUGACUCAUCCCUGCUGGGUUUAACUCAGAGUCUGCAUUUUUGUUUUUCUGCUUUUUUCUCCUUUCUUCCUCUUUCUGUCAGUCUUCCUUCUGGUCCUCCCUCCUUGGCUUCUUCCCUUCCUUUUUUAUAAUUAGAUAGACCUCCAAACUGUAAUCCUGGAAACUCCUGCAGCACGAAGGACAAGAUCUGUUCUGUGGAAGAGCAACACUGAGAAAGCGACAUCGAAGCUAACACUGACUUUUUUUGGAUACCAGAUGUCCAUUUAAUGGUCAUCUACUUAGCCAGGCAGAGGCCACCAUGGCUUCUAUGGCUUUUGCUCUCAUUUCUGCUUAAACUUUACAUUCUCCAUAUUCAUUUCAGAUUGCAAACAUUUCAUAAUUUUUAACCUAUUUUUCUUUCUUCAAUGCUACCAUAAGCGUAUUAGCUCCCAACUUUCUCUCUUGCUUACUAAUUUUGUCCUUAAAGAAGAUGGCAAUCAAAAUCCCAUCUCGUCUUGCAAAGUAACUCAACAGUAUAAAAGGGUAUUGCUUUCGGGUCAAAUCCCGGCCACACAGGGGAAAGUGUUCUACGCAAAGCCAACGAUUUUUUCCUUGGAUUCCGAGACUAUAUCUGUUUGUUUGGCACCAAGCUGCAGGGGAAACUGAGUUAUCUAGAUUGUCUCCAAGAAAGAAGAUUCCCACUUUCUGAAAAUGUUGUAUUUUAUUUCUGGAGAAGAAAAAGUACCCAUGGUGUUGAUGCUAAUUUAAUAGUAACAGCUAUUGUGUGGGGCUUAUUAUCUUUUCUCUGAAGAGGGGAGGGUCAUGGUGAGGUUUGAGGAACUGGGGAGAGAAUCCUUUCUUCAGGCACAUCUGACAAGGCUCCUAGAAGAACAACGGUGGGAGAAGCAAGGGCAGGUUUGUGGUCAGCGCCCUUGGCCCUUCUGGGGAGUGGGGGCACAGCUGUGCACUUCCAUUUUGAGGGGGCAAGAUGGCACAAUGGCAAAGAGCACAGGCUCCGGAGGCAGACCUAGCCAGCUCCCAGGGCCAGCUCUCUCAUUUGCUAGUUGUAUGACCUUGUCUAAAUGGCUGAAGUUCACCAAGCCGUGGUGUCCUCAUCAGUGAACGUGGGGCACCAGUGGUGGCUUUCCUUCGGGGCUGUCAUGAGGAUCGAGAGCGCGCACGGAGAGCAUUUCACACAGUGCCAGGCAUGUGGGGAACUCAGUAAAUGUGUAGUAUUGUAGCGGCUGUUUUCAAAUUGCUGUUAUGUUAUUAUCCUUAUUAAAUUCUACAAUUUAAUAAUUUAGUUGAGGAAUGACAGUUUUUCCCCCUCUUUCAAGCAGUCAUGUGAUCCUUGACGUCUACCCCUGGCUUCAAAGCAGCCUUAUUUAAAAUGGCUUAUUGCUUCUCCCGUGUUUUCUGUUUGUUUGACUAUAAAGAGGUUAAGCCAUCCUCUUUCCUUCCUUCCCACUCUUUUUUCUUAUCUGUUUGAAUACAAUAAAACACCUUGCCUACUGUGGGUUUCCCUGUACGCCGCCGCGGCCGGCCGUGUAGACAUCAGAGAAAAGUGGUUGCUUGCUCCUGACAUUUGAAAUGUGGACUUGACUGCAGCGGAUCCCUGCUGAUGAGAAAGAGUUCUAGAACUCUCGGGGGCCUGAUUGCGUGGGUAUAAAGGACUCGGGCUCUGGGUCUCACUAGGGGUGAUAUCAUUUUUUGGAGCCUGGGGACUUUGACGAGCUGUUUUUGGUCUGGUUUCAGGGGACUCCCCAGAUAUCUGUGUGACCUUCUUGGAGGCUUCUUCCUCCCUGGUUAAUUAUGUGCCAGGAUGUGAGAGGAGGGUCAUCUCUGUCCCCCCCCCCCCGCCCCCCGGAUUUUGUCAGCUACACAGAAGCUGGGAGAAGUAAAUGUCAGCCUCUGGCUGAAACUGAGAGGUGGCAAGGAGACAGAGGUCUGAAGACAGACACGGGCAAGUGAAUCCUGAAGCCGCAGGGCUGGGAUAUUUUGGCUUAAAUGACCUGUGACGGCUUUAUCACUUUAUUUUGUUUUUGUGGAUAUGUUUCUUUACUUACAGGAGUGCUUUCACACUGAGGAGAAAAACACAGACUUUUCCUCCCUGUGUUUUCCUUUACUCUCACAUGGCUAUCCCAUUUGCGACGCCUCUGACACUUCUGGUCACCAGAUGUGUGAUCCCAGCAGAAAUUCCCUGAUACUAGUGGUGUUCUACAAUUGAACUCAGUUUGGACGUUGCUUACCUAGAAUCAGGGUCGGAUCCCACAGGUCAAAGUUUCAGUCAGGAGACGGCUCCAUAUCAGAUGCAGAUCAUAGGUCCCCGGUUGCCCACAACUUCUACCCGAUUGGCUAGAAAGUGAACGUUCCCAUGACCCCCUCCUCAGGUUCAAUUAGUUUGCUAGGGCGCUUUACAGAACUCAGGGAAACACGCUUCCCGGUUUAUUAAACAAUGUGUUGAAGGAAACAGAUGAAGAGCCAGGUGAAGAGAUACAUAGGGCGAGGUCAGGGAAGGUCCCAAACCCAGGAGCUUCUGUUCCCAUGGAGCUGGGGCGUGUCACCCUCCAGGACACGGAUGCGCUCAACAGCCUGGAAGCUCCCUGAACCCCACAUUAUUGGGAUUUUAGGAUGACAUUAUGAGACAAGAUCAGUGAUUAAGUCCAUUUCGAGCCCUUCUCCCUCCUCAAGAGAAUGGAGGGUGGGGGUAUGGAGCUGAAAAUUCCAAAUUUCUAAUCAUGGCUUGUCUUUCCUGUGACCACCCUUCAUCCAGGAGAUAUCCAGGAGCCCACCCGGAUAUCAUCUCAUGAGAACAAAAGGCAUUCCUAACACCCAGGAAAUUACAAGGGUUUAUGAGCUCCAUGCCAGUCACUGGGGGCAUAGACCCACAUAUAUUUUCCAUUACCUUGCAUGCACAUGUCAACGGGCAUGAUCCUCGACAACCUUUUGAGGGAGGCAAGGGUGGUUCCGGUGCUAUUUGGCAGAGAAGAAAAAGGAAUGCUUUCCCUAAUAAGUUUUCCUAAUGAGUGGCAACGCGUUUCUCAUUCCAAGUGUAGAAUGUUUUUGGCUGGGCUGACCUUAUUCCUAGGUAAAGACUAUCGUAUGGCCUUAGGCUCAUUGGGACAAUCUCCAGGCACCAAAUUACUUCUACUUUUCUGCAGUGAUUUUCUGAAAUUCUAUUAUUUCACGUCACUCAUACAUUUGAUUGAAUCGGCACCACUCGAACCCUCACCUUCAAAAUGCGAAGACUCCCGAGCAGGGGGAGUUUCUGGAGGUUGGGCGUCAGGACGUGGCUUAGCUGGGUGCUCUGCUUGGGGUCUUGCAAAGGUACGAGCAGAAUGCUGGCUGGGCCGCGUUCUUUCCUGAACUUGGGAUCUUCUUCCAAGCUCACACGGCUGGAUGUUGGCAGAAUUCAGUUCCUUGUGGUCAGAGAACUGAGCCCCUCGGUUCCUAGAGACAGCCUGUAGCUCCCUGCUGCAUGCCUCUCUCCGCUGCUAUGCUGCAGCUCACAACAUGGCAACUCGCUUCUUCAAGGCCAACCAUAGAUUUUCUCUCUUGAGUCUCUGAGGUGGAGUGUUAGACAGUGUAAUGUCAUCAUGGGAGUGACGUUUUGAGAUUUCACCUGAAAAUCUGGAUCUUUCAGCGAAGAUGGACCCACAUCCUCAGUGGGAAACAGCUGGUGGGUGAGUAGCAGCUGCCCCCUUGGACGUGGAAGGAUCUCUUUCGUUUCCCAGAGUCCACGCCUUCCACCAAUGCUGCGCAUGUUCAGCAGCGAUCUGUUUUAGUCCUGCCGUGUGCCCUCGGGUCUAGCGUGGGCUUUUGAGUUUGUGACCCGGGAUUCUCAUCUGAAGAGACUGAGGAAAUGUUUGACUCCAGGAAAUGGAAUAAGGAGGCUGUGGUUGAAGACAAGGGGUGGGGCUGAAGCCAACAUGGCUCCACACCCUCUCCUGUGUCGAAUUAUAAAAUCAAGAAAGUGGGACUGAACAAAUCUGGGGUCUAUUCCUGGUUCUGCUCUCACAUGGAUGGAUUUUGGUCUAUAAUUUAGUCUCUCUGAGCCUCAGCUUCCUCAGCUGGAAAGCCUCCCUUUCCCCAGAAUUUCUGAUUCAAUUAGGCUUGGGUUGGAGCCUAAGAAUCUGUAAUUUUGACAAGUGCCCAAGGUGACUCAGUGGUCAGGCCAGUUUGCAGGAUGAGUCCAUUCACAACUGGACAUUAGCCAGCAGCUAAGGGAUCAGGAAAUAAGAGCCAGUAUUUUUUUGGAGAAAGUCAUUGACAGUUGGGGCUUACCUAAGCAGGCUAGUUUUCAGGGAAAUAUUCCAGUUCCAGAAAGAAUAUUCCAGGGAAAAAAAUAGAAAAAUAGGAGUUGAGAAUCUGGGAAAUUGAGUCAGAAACUGAACCAUAUAAACCAGGGUGUCAUGGUGGGGUGGGGGGGUGGUGGAAGUGUGUAUGGAGUACACUGGGUCCCCGCCUGCCAGCCUCCUUCCCAGGCUGGCUUCCUACAGUUCAUAGUUGCUUGCUGCAGGGACUGACAACUUGUAUCUUAUAUCUCAAAAUAGUUUGUAAGCUACUGAUGGGGCAGGGCUACCCAGCCCAGCCAAAAGCAGGGGCUCCGUAAAUGCUGGUUGAAUAAGCAAAUCAAUAAAAAGUAAACAUUUGCCAGGGUCUGCUGCUUGGCACUCUCUCACUCCGAAUCCUUCUGAACCUCUCUGAGAACACUGAGAGAGGUUCUCCUCUGUCUCUCAGCAAACUCCUUCUAUUGAACUGAGUACAAUCUAUAGAGAGAUUAUAGUUAACAAGGGGCCCAAUGUAGAGAAAAUCUUUUAUUUCCAGCCAAGAACAAAUCAAGUGCCUCUAAUGUCCUGGUUUGAAAAUGCAAAGCUCUAAUUUGUCAAUGGAAAAAAAAUCCUUUUGGUUUCUGAGUGUCGAAUUCUGGAACACAUUUUCUCAACCAAGGGGGAUUUUUAGUAACUUACAGGUGCAGAAAGUCUCACCGUAGGCAAAUGUGGGUUUUAUCAUUACACGAUCAUGUUUGAAAAUAUAAGAGAAUUAGUCUAAUACAAAUGCUAAUACAAGUAGUCUAAUACAAAUGCUGAUUGUUACAAAGCUUUGUGAUUAAAAGAAAAUGAGAUUUAU
Long non-coding RNA from Ailuropoda melanoleuca (giant panda), 15671 nucleotides. RefSeq lists it as uncharacterized. The transcript has 2 exons. NCBI's taxonomy places the organism in Eukaryota, Metazoa, Chordata, Mammalia, Carnivora, Ursidae. The record is from RefSeq and is a predicted model, not a curated record.